GCCCCGGUAGCCCAAUCGGCAGAGGCAGCCACGCGCUUCAGUUUCAGAUUCUCGCUCCAGUCUCAGCAAAGCCGACGUUCCUCUGAUCCACCCGGCGGGGAAUUCGCCGAGAGAUGCCAGUUCGAUUCUGGCUCGGGGCA
RNAcentral lists this transfer RNA (140 nucleotides) under Streptomyces sp. VRA16 Mangrove soil. RNAcentral's name for it is "tRNA-OTHER". The record is from RNAcentral. Lineage: Bacteria; Bacillati; Actinomycetota; Actinomycetes; Kitasatosporales; Streptomycetaceae.